RNAcentral lists this ribosomal RNA (496 nucleotides) under uncultured bacterium. RNAcentral describes it as "partial 16S ribosomal RNA". It matches the Rfam family "Bacterial small subunit ribosomal RNA", at positions 28 to 506 of the family's 1533-position model. The record is from RNAcentral.
GAUGAACGCUGGCGGCGUGCCUAAUACAUGCAAGUCGAGCGAACAGACGAGGAGCUUGCUCCUCUGACGUUAGCGGCGGACGGGUGAGUAACACGUGGAUAACCUACCUAUAAGACUGGGAUAACUUCGGGAAACCGGAGCUAAUACCGGAUAAUAUAUUGAACCGCAUGGUUCAAUAGUGAAAGACGGUUUUGCUGUCACUUAUAGAUGGAUCCGCGCCGCAUUAGCUAGUUGGUAAGGUAACGGCUUACCAAGGCAACGAUGCGUAGCCGACCUGAGAGGGUGAUCGGCCACACGGAAACUGAGACACGGUCCAGACUCCUACGGAGGGCAGCAGUAGGGAAUCUGCCGCAAUGGGCGAAAGCCUGACGGAGCAACGCCGCGUGAGUGAUGAAGGUCUUCGGAUCGUAAAACUCUGUUAUUAGGGAAGAACAAAUGUGUAAGUAACUAUGCACGUCUGGACGGUACCAAAUCAGAAAGCCACGGCUAACUACGG